This is a non-coding RNA of Lolium perenne, 705 nucleotides long. The record is from RefSeq and is a predicted model, not a curated record. NCBI's taxonomy places the organism in Eukaryota, Viridiplantae, Streptophyta, Magnoliopsida, Poales, Poaceae.
AUCAUGCGUGGUUGAUGCCCUCGUCAGCUCGAGAGUGCGUGAGUGGUGCCGGCCUCGCUGGCGACCGCGAUGCGUAUCCAACCCGCAUGGUUAUAAAUAGCUGCCAAGAGCGCUCGUUUUCAUUAGAUCAGAAGGAAGCUAAGCUUGCAAGCUAGUCUAGCAGUUACAGACAGAGCAGCGCAUAUACGAGUGAUAAAUCAAUCAGCUGUGAGCUGAGUGAGCUGUGAAGUGUGUUGAACAUCGAUCAACCGAAGAUGGCAUCUCUGGGAGCUGCCGGUAGCACGGCGUGGCGGGCGCCGGCGCCGGUGAGGCAGCUGUUCUGGAGGAUGAGGUCCAGCUGGAAGAACGUCGUGAUGCGUCGACCGAGGUGCGGCGCCCCGAGGUUCGGCUACGACCUACAGAGCUAUUCCCGGAACUUCGAUGACGGCCACCUCGGCUCGGCUGCCUAGCUAGUGACUAUCGAUCGCUCUAGCUAGUCCCGUGUAAAUAAUUUUAAUUUUCUUUCCGUCGACCCGGCCAUGGCUUCAGAAGUUGGGGAGCUCGAAGCGUCCCCACCACUUUCCAAUUUGCUCGUCUAGUCUAGCUAGCUGAUGGCCUGAUGCCUAUCCAUGAGUAUUAUACAUGGUUGUGCAGCUUGCUCGUUGUUCAGUAAAUGUUAUAAGUAUUGACAAGUCGAUCCGCUAGUUGAAAGUUACUAGAAUGGAA